RNAcentral lists this long non-coding RNA (404 nucleotides) under Penaeus japonicus. RNAcentral describes it as "uncharacterized LOC122263689, transcript variant X1". The record is from RNAcentral. Lineage: Eukaryota; Metazoa; Arthropoda; Malacostraca; Decapoda; Penaeidae.
AUAUUUAGGCCAGUGAGGUGAAGGUACUGUCAGCCUGUACCGUGUCCAGUAUCGCGGUUUUCUUGCUUCAUCAGCUGUUAUCACUCCCACUUAAAAAUAGUUAUUAGAAAAACGGAAAUCAGUCAUUAAACUGUAUUUCAUCAUGGUAAUAAUGGUAAUGUGGACCAAGUUGAGGAAGUGGAGGAGGUCUGUCUGCCACGUUUAGUGGUGAGAGAUAGAAGGAUCCAGUUGUCAUGCAGUCAGAGGAGGAGUUCUUGAAACGUUAUCAACUGCCAAAGCAGUGCACCAGAAACCUGCUUCAGAAAAUCAGCAGAAAAUUACCCACAGCAAGAGAUGGCAGAGGUUGCAGCUUGUGUUAUGUUGCAUAAUCUAGCCACAACUGAGAAUAUUGAUAUUGCCAAAGA